AUACGGAGGAUCCGAGCGUUAUCCGGAUUUAUUGGGUUUAAAGGGUGCGCAGGCGGCCAUUUAAGUCAGCGGUUAAAUCGUGGGGCUCAACCCCAUUCUGCCGUUGAUACUGGGUGGCUUGAUUGCGGUCGAGGUUGGCGGAAUUCGUUGUGGAGCGGUGAAAUGCAUAGAUAUGACGAAGAACACCGAUUGCGUAGGCAGCUGACCAGAUCGCAAAUGACGCUCAUGCACGAAAGUGCGGGGAUCGAACAGGAUUAGAUACCCUGGUAGUCCGCACAGUAAACGAUGAAUACUUGUUUUCGGCGAUAUAAUGUCGGAGGCAAAGCGAAAGCGAUAAGUAUUCCACCUGGGGAGUACGCCGGCAACGGUGGAACUCAAAUGAAUUGACGGGG
RNAcentral lists this ribosomal RNA (392 nucleotides) under uncultured bacterium. RNAcentral's name for it is "partial 16S ribosomal RNA". It matches the Rfam family "Bacterial small subunit ribosomal RNA", at positions 523 to 918 of the family's 1533-position model. The record is from RNAcentral.